Molecule: ribosomal RNA, 241 nt
Filed under: uncultured Staphylococcus sp.
Lineage: Bacteria; Bacillati; Bacillota; Bacilli; Caryophanales; Staphylococcaceae
Description: partial 16S ribosomal RNA
Rfam family: Bacterial small subunit ribosomal RNA
Source: RNAcentral
CGGACGGGUGAGUAACACGUGGAUAACCUACCUAUAAGACUGGGAUAACUUCGGGAAACCGGAGCUAAUACCGGAUAAUAUAUUGAACCGCAUGGUUCAAUAGUGAAAGACGGUUUUGCUGUCACUUAUAGAUGAAUCCGCGCCGCAUUAGCUAGUUGGUAAGGUAACGGCUUACCAAGGCAACGAUGCGUAGCCGACCUGAGAGGGUGAUCGGCCACACUGGAACUGAGACACGGUCCAG